ACAGCAGUCGCCGCGGUAAUACGUAGGUGGCAAGCGUUGUCCGGAAUUAUUGGGCGUAAAGGGCUCGCAGGCGGUUUCUUAAGUCUGAUGUGAAAGCCCCCGGCUCAACCGGGGAGGGUCAUUGGAAACUGGGAAACUUGAGUGCGGAAGAGGAGAGUGGAAUUCCACGUGUAGCGGUGAAAUGCGUAGAGAUGUGGAGGAACACCAGUGGCGAAGGCGACUCUCUGGUCUGUAACUGACGCUGAGGAGCGAAAGCGUGGGGAGCGAACAGGAUUAGAGACCCCGGUAGUCCCUGUCUCUUAUAC
Molecule: ribosomal RNA, 305 nt
Filed under: uncultured bacterium
Lineage: Bacteria
Description: partial 16S ribosomal RNA
Rfam family: Bacterial small subunit ribosomal RNA
Source: RNAcentral